CUUCGACCCUCCACCAGCUCGAGGAUCUUCAUCGACAUCCUCCUCUCUGGGCUUAACGAUCUGAACAUGGGCUGACGCACAUAUGGAGGAAGUCAUGCAGAGGCUUUGGAGUCAGCGAUCUCAGAGCUUUCAAGAUGCCGUCCAUGAUACGAUCAUUGAGAUUCUCUGAGAUUCACAUCUGUGCGAUCAGUUGGACUUAUUGUCACAGCCAUUACCGCAGGUAAGUCUAUUAAUAAUUUUCUUUACUUGUUCUAAACUUUUAUAUUUAGAAGCUUCACGUGUUUAGACUUGAGUCCGUAAAGAAGAUAUAAGAGGUAAAAAUUUAAUCUAACCAUCUAAAUGAUAGGUCGGAGGUAUCUAUAACUCCAUAUCAUCAAAUGGAAUAUGUAGAAAUAAUCUGUUCGAGAAUCAGAAUAGCAUAUCAAAAUAUACAUCUCCAUAUCGACAGAUACUCUUUUAUAUCAAAACUUAUUAAUAAUAUUUUAAUUUUUUUAUUACAGGAUGUUGAGACAUUCGGCUCUCAUCCAUCUACUACUGGAGAGGACGUACAGAAGCAGAAGAAGGAAGAAGAGG
This 573-nucleotide long non-coding RNA is filed under the name Elaeis guineensis (African oil palm). Its description in RNAcentral is "long non-coding RNA (EGUI_LNC018653)". The record is from RNAcentral. Lineage: Eukaryota; Viridiplantae; Streptophyta; Magnoliopsida; Arecales; Arecaceae.